CAUCUCUCAAUGCUUACCGCAGGCAGCUUGCCAUAAAUGCUGACUGCAUAGAAAUGAGAGAUACAGAAACAGUGACCUUGCAUACACCACACCUGGGCCGCGUCUUGCCUAGGCUGUAUUGUUAGCAGGGGACAGGU
Molecule: small nucleolar RNA, 137 nt
Organism: Heteronotia binoei (common prickly gecko)
Lineage: Eukaryota; Metazoa; Chordata; Lepidosauria; Squamata; Gekkonidae
Product: small nucleolar RNA SNORA51
Exons: 1
Source: RefSeq, a predicted model, not a curated record